Molecule: ribosomal RNA, 468 nt
Filed under: uncultured bacterium
Lineage: Bacteria
Description: partial 16S ribosomal RNA
Rfam family: Bacterial small subunit ribosomal RNA
Source: RNAcentral
GACGAACGCUGGCGGCGUGCUUAACACAUGCAAGUCGAACGGAAAGGCCCUGCUUUUGUGGGGUGCUCGAGUGGCGAACGGGUGAGUAACACGUGAGUAACCUGCCCUUGACUUUGGGAUAACUUCAGGAAACUGGGGCUAAUACCGGAUAGGAGCUCCUGCUGCAUGGUGGGGGUUGGAAAGUUUCGGCGGUUGGGGAUGGACUCGCGGCUUAUCAGCUUGUUGGUGGGGUAGUGGCUUACCAAGGCUUUGACGGGUAGCCGGCCUGAGAGGGUGGCCGGCCACAUUGGGACUGAGAUACGGCCCAGACUCCUACGGGAGGCAGCAGUGGGGAAUAUUGCACAAUGGGCGGAAGCCUGAUGCAGCAACGCCGCGUGCGGGAUGACGGCCUUCGGGUUGUAAACCGCUUUCGCCUGUGACGAAGCGUGAGUGACGGUAAUGGGUAAAGAAGUACCGGCUAACUACGUG